RNAcentral lists this ribosomal RNA (468 nucleotides) under uncultured bacterium. RNAcentral's name for it is "partial 16S ribosomal RNA". It matches the Rfam family "Bacterial small subunit ribosomal RNA", at positions 28 to 507 of the family's 1533-position model. The record is from RNAcentral.
GACGAACGCUGGCGGCGUGCUUAACACAUGCAAGUCGAACGGAAAGGCCCUGCUUUUGUGGGGUGCUCGAGUGGCGAACGGGUGAGUAACACGUGAGUAACCUGCCCUUGACUUUGGGAUAACUUCAGGAAACUGGGGCUAAUACCGGAUAGGAGCUCCUGCUGCAUGGGGGGGGUUGGAAAGUUUCGGCGGUGGGGGAUGGACUCGCGGCUUAUCAGCUUGUUGGUGGGGUAGUGGCUUACCAAGGCUUUGACGGGUAGCCGGCCUGAGAGGGUGACCGGCCACAUUGGGCCUGAGAUACGGCCCAGACUCCUACGGGAGGCAGCAGUGGGGAAUAUUGCACAAUGGGCGGAAGCCUGAUGCAGCAACGCCGCGUGCGGGAUGACGGCCUUCGGGUUGUAAACCGCUUUCGCCUGUGACGAAGCGUGAGUGACGGUAAUGGGUAAAGAAGCACCGGCUAACUACGUG